RNAcentral lists this ribosomal RNA (433 nucleotides) under uncultured bacterium. RNAcentral describes it as "partial 16S ribosomal RNA". It matches the Rfam family "Bacterial small subunit ribosomal RNA", at positions 29 to 507 of the family's 1533-position model. The record is from RNAcentral.
AACGAACGCUGGCGGCAGGCCUAACACAUGCAAGUCGAGCGAGGACUUCGGUUCUAGCGGCGGACGGGUGAGUAACGCGUGGGAAUGUGCCCUUCUCUACGGAAUAGCCCUGGGAAACUGGGAGUAAUACCGUAUACGCCCCAUUGUGGAAAGAUUUAUCGGAGAAGGAUCAGCCCGCGUUGGAUUAGGUAGUUGGUGGGGUAAUGGCCUACCACGCCGACGAUCCAUAGCUGGUUUGAGAGGAUGAUCAGCCACACUGGGACUGAGGCACGGCCCAGACUCGUACGGGAGGCAGCAGUGGGGAACCUUAGACAAUGGGGGCAACCCUGAGCUAGCCGUGCCGCGUGAGUGAUGAAGGCCUUAGGGUUGUAAAGCCCUUUCAGCUGGGAAGAUAAUGACGGUACCGGCAGAAGAAGCACCGGCUAACUCCGUG